GUGGACUACCAGGGUUUCUAAUCCUGUUUGCUCCCCACGCUUUCGCUCCUCAGCGUCAGUGGUGGCCCAGUAACCUGCCUUCGCCAUCGGUGUUCCUCCUGAUAUCUGCGCAUUUCACCGCUACACCAGGAAUUCCAGUUACCCCUACCACACUCUAGUCAGACCGUAUCGAAUGCAGGCUGGGGGUUGAGCCCCCAGUUUUCACAUCCGACGUGUCUAACCGCCUACGAGCUCUUUACGCCCAAUAAAUCCGGACAACGCUUGCACCCUACGUAUUACCGCGGCUGCUGGCACG
RNAcentral lists this unclassified non-coding RNA (295 nucleotides) under uncultured Sporichthyaceae bacterium. RNAcentral describes it as "contains 16S-23S intergenic spacer region". The record is from RNAcentral. Lineage: Bacteria; Bacillati; Actinomycetota; Actinomycetes; Sporichthyales; Sporichthyaceae.